CGCGGCCUAUCAGCUUGUUGGUGAGGUAAUGGCUCACCAAGGCGACGACGGGUAGCCGGCCUGAGAGGGCGACCGGCCACACUGGGACUGAGACACGGCCCAGACUCCUACGGGAGGCAGCAGUGGGGAAUAUUGCACAAUGGGCGAAAGCCUGAUGCAGCGACGCCGCGUGAGGGAUGACGGCCUUCGGGUUGUAAACCUCUUUCAGCAGGGAAGAAGCGAAAGUGACGGUACCUGCAGAAGAAGCGCCGGCUAACUACGUGCCAGCAGCCGCGGUAAUACGUAGGGCGCAAGCGUUGUCCGGAAUUAUUGGGCGUAAAGAGCUCGUAGGCGGUCUGUCGCGUCGGAUGUGAAAGCCCGGGGCUUAACCCCGGGUCUGCAUUCGAUACGGGCAGACUAGAGUGUGGUAGGGGAGAUCGGAAUUCCUGGUGUAGCGGUGAAAUGCGCAGAUAUCAGGAGGAACGCCGGUGGCGAAGGCGGAUCUCUGGGCCAUUACUGACGCUGAGGAGCGAAAGCGUGGGGAGCGAACAGGAUUAGAUACCCUGGUAGUCCACGCCGUAAACGGUGGGAACUAGGUGUUGGCGACAUUCCACGUCGUCGGUGCCGCAGCUAACGCAUUAAGUUCCCCGCC
RNAcentral lists this ribosomal RNA (631 nucleotides) under uncultured bacterium. RNAcentral describes it as "bacterial SSU rRNA". It matches the Rfam family "Bacterial small subunit ribosomal RNA", at positions 232 to 873 of the family's 1533-position model. The record is from RNAcentral.